Molecule: ribosomal RNA, 253 nt
Filed under: uncultured bacterium
Lineage: Bacteria
Description: partial 16S ribosomal RNA
Rfam family: Bacterial small subunit ribosomal RNA
Source: RNAcentral
UACGGAGGGUGCGAGCGUUGUUCGGAAUCACUGGGUGUAAAGGGCGUGUAGGCGGCCUGCUAAGUCUGAUGUGAAAGCCCGGGGCUCAACUUCGGAAGUGCAUUGGAAACUGGCAGACUGGAGUCCCGGAGAGGAGGGUGGAAUUCCUCGUGUAGCGGUGAAAUGCAUAGAUAUCAGGAGGAACACCGGUGGCGAAGGCAGCUCUCUGGACGGUGAUUGACGCUGAGACGCGAAAGCGUGGGGAGCAAACAGG